GACGAACGCUGGCGGCGUGCUUAACACAUGCAAGUCGAACGGAAAGGCCCUGCUUUUGUGGUGUGCUCGAGUGGCGAACGGGUGAGUAACACGUGAGUAACCUGCCCUUGACUUUGGGAUAACUUCAGGAAACUGGGGCUAAUACCGGAUAGGAGCUCCUGCUGCAUGGUGGGGGUUGGAAAGUUUCGGCGGUUGGGGAUGGACUCGCGGCUUAUCAGCUUGUUGGUGGGGUAGUGGCUUACCAAGGCUUUGACGGGUAGCCGGCCUGAGAGGGGGACCGGCCACAUUGGGACUGAGAUACGGCCCAGACUCCUACGGGAGGCAGCAGUGGGGAAUAUUGCACAAUGGGCGGAAGCCUGAUGAAGCAACGCCGCGUGCGGGAUGACGGCCUUCGGGUUGUAAACCGCUUUCGCCUGUGACGAAGCGUGAGUGACGGUAAUGGGUAAAGAAGCACCGGCUAACUACGUG
This 468-nucleotide ribosomal RNA is filed under the name uncultured bacterium. Its description in RNAcentral is "partial 16S ribosomal RNA". It matches the Rfam family "Bacterial small subunit ribosomal RNA", at positions 28 to 507 of the family's 1533-position model. The record is from RNAcentral.